This 686-nucleotide ribosomal RNA is filed under the name Variovorax sp. wged13. Its description in RNAcentral is "bacterial SSU rRNA". It matches the Rfam family "Bacterial small subunit ribosomal RNA", at positions 73 to 755 of the family's 1533-position model. Lineage: Bacteria; Pseudomonadati; Pseudomonadota; Betaproteobacteria; Burkholderiales; Comamonadaceae. The record is from RNAcentral.
GCGGGAGCAAUCCUGGCGGCGAGUGGCGAACGGGUGAGUAAUACAUCGGAACGUGCCCAAUCGUGGGGGAUAACGCAGCGAAAGCUGUGCUAAUACCGCAUACGAUCUACGGAUGAAAGCAGGGGAUCGCAAGACCUUGCGCGAAUGGAGCGGCCGAUGGCAGAUUAGGUAGUUGGUGAGGUAAAGGCUCACCAAGCCUUCGAUCUGUAGCUGGUCUGAGAGGACGACCAGCCACACUGGGACUGAGACACGGCCCAGACUCCUACGGGAGGCAGCAGUGGGGAAUUUUGGACAAUGGGCGAAAGCCUGAUCCAGCCAUGCCGCGUGCAGGAUGAAGGCCUUCGGGUUGUAAACUGCUUUUGUACGGAACGAAACGGCCUUUUCUAAUAAAGAGGGCUAAUGACGGUACCGUAAGAAUAAGCACCGGCUAACUACGUGCCAGCAGCCGCGGUAAUACGUAGGGUGCAAGCGUUAAUCGGAAUUACUGGGCGUAAAGCGUGCGCAGGCGGUUAUGUAAGACAGUUGUGAAAUCCCCGGGCUCAACCUGGGAACUGCAUCUGUGACUGCAUAGCUAGAGUACGGUAGAGGGGGAUGGAAUUCCGCGUGUAGCAGUGAAAUGCGUAGAUAUGCGGAGGAACACCGAUGGCGAAGGCAAUCCCCUGGACCUGUACUGACGCUCAUGCACG